UUUCAGGGGUGCCCCAAAGGGGCUGAGAAUAAACCCUUAGAACUUGAUCCGGAUUAUACCGGCGAAAGGAGAAAGUAA
This 78-nucleotide non-coding RNA is filed under the name bovine gut metagenome. RNAcentral's name for it is "TPP riboswitch (THI element)". It matches the Rfam family "TPP riboswitch aptamer (THI element)", at positions 7 to 92 of the family's 105-position model. Rfam says of the family: Vitamin B(1) in its active form thiamin pyrophosphate (TPP) is an essential coenzyme that is synthesised by coupling of pyrimidine and thiazole moieties in bacteria. The previously detected thiamin-regulatory element, thi box was extended, resulting in a new, highly conserved RNA secondary structure, the THI element, which is widely distributed in eubacteria and also occurs in some archaea. The record is from RNAcentral.